AGCCGCGGUAAUACGUAGGGUGCAAGCGUUAUCCGGAAUUAUUGGGCGUAAAGAGCUCGUAGGCGGUUUGUCGCGUCUGCUGUGAAAACCCGAGGCUCAACCUCGGGCCUGCAGUGGGUACGGGCAGACUAGAGUGCGGUAGGGGAGAUUGGAAUUCCUGGUGUAGCGGUGGAAUGCGCAGAUAUCAGGAGGAACACCGAUGGCGAAGGCAGAUCUCUGGGCCGUAACUGACGCUGAGGAGCGAAAGGGUGGGGAGCAAACAGGCUUAGAUACCCUGGUAGUCCACCCCGUAAACGUUGGGAACUAGUUGUGGGGACCAUUCCACGGUUUCCGUGACGCAGCUAACGCAUUAAGUUCCCCGCCUGGGGAGUACGGCCGCAAGGCUAAAACUCAAAGGAAUUGACGGGGACCCGCACAAGCGGCGGAGCAUGCGGAUUAAUUCGAUGCAACGCGAAGAACCUUACCAAGGCUUGACAUAUACGAGAACGGGCCAGAAAUGGUCAACUCUUUGGACACUCGUAAACAGGUGGUGCAUGGUUGUCGUCAGCUCGUGUCGUGAGAUGUUGGGUUAAGUCCCGCAACGAGCGCAACCCUCGUUCUAUGUUGCCAGCACGUAAUGGUGGGAACUCAUGGGAUACUGCCGGGGUCAACUCGGAGGAAGGUGGGGAUGACGUCAAAUCAUCAUGCCCCUUAUGUCUUGGGCUUCACGCAUGCUACAAUGGCCGGUACAAUGGGCUGCAAUACCGUAAGGUGGAGCGAAUCCCAAAAAGCCGGUCCCAGUUCGGAUUGAGGUCUGCAACUCGACCUCAUGAAGUCGGAGUCGCUAGUAAUCGCAGAUCAGCAACGCUGCGGUGAAUACGUUCCCGGGUCUUGUACACACCGCCCGUCAAGUCAUGAAAGUCGGUAACACCUGAAGCCGGUGGCCCAACCCUUGUGGAGGGAGCCGUCGAAGGUGGGAUCGGUAAUUAGGACUAAGUCGUAACAAGGUAGCCGUACCGGAAGGUGCGGCUG
Molecule: ribosomal RNA, 1011 nt
Filed under: feces metagenome
Description: bacterial SSU rRNA
Rfam family: Bacterial small subunit ribosomal RNA
Source: RNAcentral